GACGAACGCUGGCGGCGUGCUUAACACAUGCAAGUCGAACGGAAAGGCCUGCUUUCCCUUGUGGAUUGCGGGUACUCGAGUGGCGAACGGGUGAGUAACACGUGAGUGAUCUGCCCCCAACUUGGGUAUAAGCCUGGGAAACUGGGUCUAAUUCCCGAUAGGACUGCAGGGUGGUGCCUGUGGUGGAAAACGAUUUUCUAGUGGUUGGGGAUGAGCUCGCGGCCUAUCAGCUUGUUGGUGGGGUAAUGGCCUACCAAGGCGGCGACGGGUAGCCGGCCUGGGAGGGUGGACGGCCACAUUGGGACUGAGAUACGGCCCAGACUCCUACGGGAGGCAGCAGUGGGGAAUAUUGCACAAUGGGCGGAAGCCUGAUGCAGCGACGCCGCGGGGGGGAUGACGGCCUUCGGGUUGUAAACUCCUUUCGACCGCGAGGAAGCCACCUGGUUGGAAGGGUGGUGACGGUAGUGGUAGAAGAAGCACCGGCCAACUACGUG
Molecule: ribosomal RNA, 494 nt
Filed under: uncultured bacterium
Lineage: Bacteria
Description: partial 16S ribosomal RNA
Rfam family: Bacterial small subunit ribosomal RNA
Source: RNAcentral